RNAcentral lists this unclassified non-coding RNA (392 nucleotides) under uncultured bacterium. RNAcentral's name for it is "contains 16S-23S intergenic spacer region". The record is from RNAcentral.
UCCCUCUCACCUGCGCACAAAAUUUCUUUGUGCCCAAAUGAGAGGGCAGUCUGAAGUGACAUAUAUAACACUUCACAGGGGUUGCGCUCGUUUCCCGACUGAACGGAACAUCUUACGACACGAGCUGACGACAACCAUGCAGCACCUGGUCUAGCACCCUCGAAGGACAUCCCAUUUCUGGGCUCUGCAGCUAGAUUUCAAACCUUGGUGAGGUGCCUCGCUCACUGUCGAAUUAAACCACAUGCUCCACCACUUGUGCGGAUCCCCGUCUAUUCCUUUGAGUUUUAAGCUUGCGCUCGUACUUCCCAGGCGGCAUACUUAACGCGUUAGCUCCGGCACAGAAAGGGUCGAUUCUCCCUGCACCUAGUAUGCAUCGUUUAGGGCGUGGACUA